This 100-nucleotide non-coding RNA is filed under the name Methylorubrum extorquens DM4. Its description in RNAcentral is "glycine riboswitch". It matches the Rfam family "Glycine riboswitch aptamer". Rfam says of the family: This family represents the bacterial glycine riboswitch. Glycine riboswitches usually consist of two metabolite-binding aptamers domains with similar structures in tandem. Lineage: Bacteria; Pseudomonadati; Pseudomonadota; Alphaproteobacteria; Hyphomicrobiales; Methylobacteriaceae. The record is from RNAcentral.
ACACUCUGGAAAGCGGAGCGGCAGCUCCCGCCGAUGGUGUAAGGCGUGGCCUCUCCCGAGGCCGUGUCGAAACUCUCAGGCCGAUGACAGAGGGGGCUCG